AACGUAGGGGACAAGCGUUAUCCGGAUUUACUGGGCGUAAAGCGCCCGUAGGCGGCCUGAUAAGUUGGCUGUGAAAGCUCCCGGCUUAACUGGGAGAGGUCAGUCAAAACUGUGAGGCUAGAGGCUGGAAGAGGAGCGUGGAAUUCCCGGUGUAGUGGUGGAAUGCGUAGAGAUCGGGAGGAACACCAGUGGCGAAAGCGGCGCUCUGGUUCAGGCCUGACGCUGAGGGGCGAAAGCGUGGGGAGCGAACGGGAUUAGAAACCCUGGUAGU
Molecule: ribosomal RNA, 271 nt
Filed under: uncultured bacterium
Lineage: Bacteria
Description: partial 16S ribosomal RNA
Rfam family: Bacterial small subunit ribosomal RNA
Source: RNAcentral